AUUGAACGCUGGCGGCAGGCCUAACACAUGCAAGUCGAGCGAGCGGCGGACGGGUGAGUAAUGUAUGGGGACUGCCCGAUAGAGGGGGAUAACUACUGGAAACGGUGGCUAAUACCGCAUACUAUCGGAUACACCAUAGGGGAUUAGCUAGUAGGUGGGGUAAAGGCUCACCUAGGCGACGAUCUCUAUCUGGUCUGAGAGGAUGUUAAGCCCAACGGGGACUGGGCCACGGCCCAACCUCCUACGGAGGCAGCAGUGGGGAAUAUUGCGCAAUGGGGGCAACCCUGACGCAGCAAUGCGGCGUGAAUGAAGAAGGCCUUAGGGUUGUAAAGUACUUUAAGUCGGGAGGCGGUACCGACAGAAGAAGCACCGGCUAACUCCGUGCCAGCAGCCGCGGUAAUAC
RNAcentral lists this ribosomal RNA (403 nucleotides) under uncultured bacterium. Its description in RNAcentral is "partial 16S ribosomal RNA". It matches the Rfam family "Bacterial small subunit ribosomal RNA", at positions 30 to 526 of the family's 1533-position model. The record is from RNAcentral.